AAUGAACGCUGGCGGCAUGCCUAACACAUGCAAGUCGAACGAAGGCUUCGGCCUUAGUGGCGCACGGGUGCGUAACGCGUGGGAAUCUGCCCCUUGGUUCGGAAUAACAGUUAGAAAUGACUGCUAAUACCGGAUGAUGACGUAAGUCCAAAGAUUUAUCGCCGAGGGAUGAGCCCGCGUAGGAUUAGCUAGUUGGUGUGGUAAGAGCGCACCAAGGCGACGAUCCUUAGCUGGUCUGAGAGGAUGAUCAGCCACACUGGGACUGAGACACGGCCCAGACUCCUACGGGAGGCAGCAGUGGGGAAUAUUGGACAAUGGGCGAAAGCCUGAUCCAGCAAUGCCGCGUGAGUGAUGAAGGCCUUAGGGUUGUAAAGCUCUUUUACCCGGGAUGAUAAUGACAGUACCGGGAGAAUAAGCUCCGGCUAACUCCGUGCCAGCAGCCGCGGUAAUACGGAGGGAGCUAGCGUUAUUCGGAAUUACUGGGCGUAAAGCGCACGUAGGCGGCUUUGUAAGUAAGAGGUGAAAGCCCAGAGCUCAACUCUGGAAUUGCCUUUUAGACUGCAUCGCUUGAAUCAUGGAGAGGUCAGUGGAAUUCCGAGUGUAGAGGUGAAAUUCGUAGAUAUUCGGAAGAACACCAGUGGCGAAGGCGGCUGACUGGACAUGUAUUGACGCUGAGGUGCGAAAGCGUGGGGAGCAAACAGG
RNAcentral lists this ribosomal RNA (702 nucleotides) under uncultured Sphingomonas sp. RNAcentral describes it as "bacterial SSU rRNA". It matches the Rfam family "Bacterial small subunit ribosomal RNA", at positions 28 to 776 of the family's 1533-position model. Lineage: Bacteria; Pseudomonadati; Pseudomonadota; Alphaproteobacteria; Sphingomonadales; Sphingomonadaceae. The record is from RNAcentral.